CUACGGGAGGCUCCAGUGAGGAAUAUUGCACAAUGGGGGGAACCCUGAUGCAGCAACGCCGCGUGGAGGAUGACGCAUUUCGGUGUGUAAACUCCUUUUAUAUGUCAAGAAAAUGACGGUAGCAUAUGAAUAAGCACCGGCUAACUCCGUGCCAGCAGCCGCGGUAAUACGGAGGGUGCAAGCGUUACUCGGAAUCACUGGGCGUAAAGGACGCGUAGGCGGGUUGGAAAGUCGGGUGUGAAAUCCUACAGCUUAACUGUAGAACUGCACUUGAAACUUCUAAUCUAGAGUAUGGGAGGGGGAGAUGGAAUUAGUGGUGUAGGGGUAAAAUCCGUAGAUAUCACUAGGAAUACCUAAAGCGAAGGCGAUCUCCUGGAACAUUACUGACGCUAAGGCGUGAAAGCGUGGGGAGCAAACAGGAUUAGAUACCCGUGUAGUC
This 439-nucleotide ribosomal RNA is filed under the name uncultured bacterium. RNAcentral describes it as "partial 16S ribosomal RNA". It matches the Rfam family "Bacterial small subunit ribosomal RNA", at positions 339 to 795 of the family's 1533-position model. The record is from RNAcentral.